Molecule: long non-coding RNA, 1025 nt
Filed under: Vitis vinifera (wine grape)
Lineage: Eukaryota; Viridiplantae; Streptophyta; Magnoliopsida; Vitales; Vitaceae
Description: long non-coding RNA (VVIN_LNC001222)
Source: RNAcentral
UUAAUGUCUUUGGUGGUGGCGGUGGUGUUGUUGAUGUUUCUGGAGGAGGUGGUGGUGAUCGCUUCCUUGGUGGCGUUGGUUUUGUUGUUGGCGGGGGCGGUGGUGGCGGUAAUAUUGGUGCCUUUGGUGGUGGCGGUAGUAUUGGUGCCUUUGGUGGUGGUGCUGGUGGUGUUAAUGUCUUUGGUGGUGGCGGUGGUGUUGUUGAUGUUUCUGGAGGAGGUGGUGGUGUUUUUGGUGGGGAUGGUUUUGACCUUUUUGGGGGUGGUGGUGGUGGUGGUGGUAUUUCUAGUGGAGGUGGUGGUGGUGUUUCUAGAGGAGGUGGUGGUGGUGGUGAUGUUUUUGGUGGUGGUGGUGGUGGAGCCUUGUUCGGAGGUAGUGGUGUUGUUUUUGGUGGGGUUGGUGGUGGUGGUUGCAGAUGUUUUGGUGGUGAUGGUGGCACUAUUCUCACUGGGGUUGGUGGUAGUCGCCGAUGUAUAGGUGGAGGUGCUCGCCAACGUUUUGGUGGUGGAGGUGAUGGUCGCCAACGUUUUGGUGGUGGAGGUGAUGGUCGCCCACGUUUUAGUAGUGGCGGUGGUGGUCGGUGCUGAGUGCGAGGAGGAAGGUGAUGGGGUGGAGAAGAACAGCGAAAUGGGGUUCGACAGGCCUGCCCAUUAGUGUUUGGGAGCAAACUCAGACAAACAACUACGACCAACACACCAGUACCAGUGCUCAACAAAGCCAUAGAGGUUUCCUUCCCUUUUUUCCUGCCCAUAUUGGCCGCCACACACCUCUGGCUUAGACUCUUCUCCUCCAUCCUUCUCAACCCUUUUUAUAUAUAACUUCGCCGCUUAAUUUCCAGAGCUCUUACGUGUAAAGCAUCACAUUUACCUCCUCCUACUCUUAUAACAGCAUAGGACACUCUUCAAUACCAUCAACUUCAGAAUUUUACGAUUACUAAACUUGUACUAUCAACAACUGUGGGAUCAUUUUUAAGCAAUCGUAACAAGUCAUAUCUAGCAUUUUUAUGUACUUUUAAAUCAUAAGGC